This 515-nucleotide ribosomal RNA is filed under the name uncultured Bacteroidota bacterium. RNAcentral describes it as "bacterial SSU rRNA". It matches the Rfam family "Bacterial small subunit ribosomal RNA", at positions 9 to 523 of the family's 1533-position model. The record is from RNAcentral. Lineage: Bacteria; Pseudomonadati; Bacteroidota.
GAGUUUGAUCAUGGCUCAGGAUGAACGCUAGCGGCAGGCUUAACACAUGCAAGUCGAACGGUAACAGAUCUUCGGAUGCUGACGAGUGGCGCACGGGUGCGUAACGCGUAUGCAACCUACCUCUAACUGGGGAAUAGCCCGGGGAAACUCGGAUUAAUACCCCAUAACAUUUUGGAAUCGCAUGAUUCUGAAAUUAAAACUCCGGUGGUUAGAGAUGGGCAUGCGUCCUAUUAGCUAGUUGGUGAGGUAACGGCUCACCAAGGCAACGAUAGGUAGGGGGUCUGAGAGGAUUAUCCCCCACACUGGUACUGAGACACGGACCAGACUCCUACGGGAGGCAGCAGUGAGGAAUAUUGGGCAAUGGACGAAAGUCUGACCCAGCCAUGCCGCGUGCAGGAAGACGGCCCUAUGGGUUGUAAACUGCUUUUCUAUGGGAAGAAACACUCCGACGUGUCGGAACUUGACGGUACCAUAGGAAUAAGGAUCGGCUAACUCCGUGCCAGCAGCCGCGGUAA